RNAcentral lists this long non-coding RNA (655 nucleotides) under Sorghum bicolor (sorghum). RNAcentral describes it as "long non-coding RNA (SBIC_LNC008340)". Lineage: Eukaryota; Viridiplantae; Streptophyta; Magnoliopsida; Poales; Poaceae. The record is from RNAcentral.
UUAAAUCAAGAUGUGCAUGUGUGAUGGAGUAAAUGAUAGUGAUGGUGAAAAUGCAUAAGUGUUAAUAAUAAAAUUUAGUUCUCAUUGCUCCUUAUAUUGCUAUCUCUCCUCUUCUUUGAUCUUUGCUUUGGGAGAACAUGGGCUAUCUUUUUCUUCUUCUCUCUUUUUUUUAAGGUGGGUAGUAGAUACCCCUAAUUCUACUGUCGGACACUCGUCCAUUUUUUCCGCUCAAGUGGGCAUCUUUGUACCCCUAAUUCUACUCCGGACACUUGUCCAUUUUUACCUCUCGUCUCACUCUUUUUCUUUCUUUUUCGAGGUUCCGGGCACUUGCCCCUUUUUAUUUCCUCGUGUAUUUUUGCAUAACCCAUGCCUCUUCUGCAUUAAAUCUUUUUAGAGAGAGAAUAACAAUAUUCGGGACAGUGAGUGAUUAUAUUUUUAGCAAUUUUAAUGAUUGGUGAUGAAUGUUGUGGUAGAUGUGUGCAAGUGAAUAUCUUAAUUUAACCACAUGAAAAGCUCCUAAGGGUCUACACAGCUCGAUUAAACUCAAUGUGAAUAUAGUAAAAGAUGUUAUAGCAAGUAUGGCUGUGGUAGGUAGUUUUGUUAUGCUAGGAACUCAUCAUGUGAUUUGUAAGUUUUCAAAAUAAAUCUCCAGAAC